AGUGAACGCUGGCGGUAGGUCUAACGCAUGCAAGUCGAACGGCAGCACAGUAAGAGCUUGCUCUUACGGGUGGCGAGUGGCGGACGGGUGAGGAAUACAUCGGAAUCUACUUUUUCGUGGGGGAUAACGUAGGGAAACUUACGCUAAUACCGCAUACGACCUACGGGUGAAAGCAGGGGAUCUUCGGACCUUGCGCGAUUGAAUGAGCCGAUGUCGGAUUAGCUAGUUGGCGGGGUAAAGGCCCACCAAGGCGACGAUCCGUAGCUGGUCUGAGAGGAUGAUCAGCCACACUGGAACUGAGACACGGUCCAGACUCCUACGGGAGGCAGCAGUGGGGAAUAUUGGACAAUGGGCGCAAGCCUGAUCCAGCCAUACCGCGUGGGUGAAGAAGGCCUUCGGGUUGUAAAGCCCUUUUGUUGGGAAAGAAAAGCAGCAGGUUAAUACCCCGCUGUUCUGACGGUACCCAAAGAAUAAGCACCGGCUAACUUCGUG
RNAcentral lists this ribosomal RNA (492 nucleotides) under uncultured bacterium. RNAcentral's name for it is "partial 16S ribosomal RNA". It matches the Rfam family "Bacterial small subunit ribosomal RNA", at positions 29 to 507 of the family's 1533-position model. The record is from RNAcentral.